Xiphias gladius (swordfish) is the source of this 346-nucleotide long non-coding RNA. RefSeq lists it as uncharacterized. NCBI's taxonomy places the organism in Eukaryota, Metazoa, Chordata, Actinopteri, Istiophoriformes, Xiphiidae. The record is from RefSeq and is a predicted model, not a curated record. The transcript has 3 exons.
CAGGUGUCAGGAAGGGUUGACCUGGCGACCAGAUGACAGAAAGGUAGGAGGGUGUCCUUGUUAGCUUGUCGUCCCGUUGUAACCCUGAGGCCAGUGAUGUGACUGGAGUGUGAAUUCGCCAUUAAAGGACCGACUCCACCGGAGGACUUCCUGCUUCCCCGAGAAAUUCAGGCGAUCUCGGCCGACUUUGACAGACAGCUGGCCGAGCCAAUGACGGACUUCGAGGACUUUUAACGCGCGUCUGCAGGGCCCGCCGGACAGACGUACGUGGGCGUGCGCACCGCAAGGAUCUGCAUGUGAACCCGGAUGAGUGCCAGCACCUCUUUGUUCCCUGUGAGAAGAGGAC